UAAUCUACAUACUUCUGUCUGUCUCGCAUGGCGUCUGAAUGGGAGAGAGAGUUUGUAAGCGGACUCAGCUCUGCACAGACAAAGAAAUCACUAAAAGUGUGAGCGUACGAUAAGAAGAGUGAGGUGGGCGAGAAGGAAGCUGGUGUGCGCAAAGCAAUGCCUGCUCAUUUCUGAAUUCGAUGCUCUUCCUCCUCACGGAUUUUGGCAUAUCUUUUCCUUUUGAUUAAUUUAUUGAGCCUCGAAUCACGCCUGCUCGCACCCUCAAAAAUUGAUAACGCGAGCCCGGGUUCAUCGGCAACCCCUCCCUGUAAACUUAGUGCAACUUCUUCGCAGCAGGUUCUGAUGCCUAUAUAAAUUCUUUCGUUGUUUUAAUUUUUGGCUGAAAGACGGUUGACCUCUCUGGGCCCGGCGAAUAACGUUGAAACGGUUUAUAAGUGGACAGGAUCUUGAAGCCAUUGCAACUCAUCUUGAAGUUCUACUAAGUUUUGAGUCAUUUGGCUCGAAAAAAGAUUGGUUGAGAGGUGAAGAUGUCUUCGUGGGAUCAUCUUGGGGAGCUUGCAACUGUAGCCCAACUUACGGGCCUGGACGCGGUGAAGCUGAUUGGAUUGAUCGGGAAGGCCGCGAACACUGCGCGACUGCACAAGAGGAACUGCAGGCAAUUUGCACAGCAUUUGAAGUUAAUCGGGAACUUGCUGGAGCAGCUUAAGAUCUCAGAGCUUAAGAAAUACCCCGAGACGCGGGAGCCUCUGGAGCAGCUUGAGGAUGCGUUGAGAAGGUCCUACAUCUUGGUCAACAGCUGCCAGGACCGGAGCUAUCUGUAUUUGUUGGCAAUGGGGUGGAACAUCGUGUACCAGUUCCGAAAGGCCCAGAAUGAGAUUGACAGAUACUUGCGGCUUGUACCGUUGAUUACUCUUGUGGACAAUGCUAGAGUCAGGGAGAGACUUGAAGAUAUUGAAAAGGAUGAGCGAGAAUACACAUUGGACGAAGAGGACAGAAUGGUGCAGGAUGUGAUACUGAACCCAGAUCCCUCAACUAAUGAUGCUAUGGUGUUGAAGAAAACUCUUUCUUGUUCCUACCCAAACUUGCCUUUCAAUGAAGCACUUAGAAGGGAAAAUGAAAAGCUUCAACUUGAACUACAAAGAUCACAAGCUCACUUGGAUGUAAGCCAAUGUGAAGUAAUUCAACAUCUGAUAGAUGUCACGGAAACUGCAUCUACCAAUGCCCUUCCGGAGAAAAAUUUGCCUGAAAAAGGUCACAAGAAAGUGGAACAGAAUUAUUCAGAUACCAAUAGUGACAAUGAGCAUUCAUCUGAUGAAGGCUAUCGUAAGAGAAGUGAUACUCUUAAAACUUCAAGAAACACGUCUUCAGUUUCAUCAGGCCAUGAUCUGCUCUCAACUAGAGGUUCACUUCGACAUGAAGAAUGGCAUACUGAUCUACUUGGUUGCUGUUCUGAACCUUGUCUAUGUAUAAAGACGCUUCUCUUUCCUUGUGGGACAUUUUCAAAGAUUGCUACUGUAGCAACUAAUAGGCAUAUAUCUUCAGGGCAAGCAUGCAAUGAUUUGAUGGCAUAUUCGUUGAUAUUGUCAUGCUGUUGCUAUACUUGCAAUGUCAGAAGAAAGCUUCGCAAGAUGUUUAACAUUACGGGAGGCUCCAUUGAUGAUUUUCUUUCGCAUUUGAUGUGUUGCUGCUGUGCCCUUGUCCAAGAAUGGAGAGAGGUGGAGAUCCGUGGGGCUUAUGGUCUUGAGAAGACAAAGACAAGCCGUCCACCCUUGCAAUACAUGGAAUCUUAAGUGAUAGAAUGGAAGUCUUGAUAGUAUGAAACUUUUUAUGAACCUUGGCAGCAGUAUAUAAGUAUUCAAUGCAGGACCCAAGACAAGAUCUACCACUUGUUCACAUAAAGAUGAGCAGAGAAGGACAAGACACCCACAUGAAGACGAUGAUGAAGAGCUCUUCAAAACCCGAAGACGACGACGGUAGUGAUCUCUUCUUUCUUUCAGACCCAAAAUUGUAGAGGUUUUCUUCCCAGACUCACGUGAUUUCUAAACUUUCUGAAAUCUGAAUUUUCCUUCCUCUUUCUCGUUUUCAUCUAUGUUAUGUUUCGCAUUUUUUUUUUUUUUAGGUAACGUGGUAUGCCGAUUCCCCUAUGGUUUCGCACCUCAGUUGCAUGUAGCGAAAUUGUUUAAUUAAUGGAAAAUCUUUCACUAAA
RNA transcript from Carya illinoinensis, 2206 nucleotides. It is a transcript of the gene named protein MID1-COMPLEMENTING ACTIVITY 1-like, with no coding region annotated. The transcript is spliced from 11 exons. The record is from RefSeq and is a predicted model, not a curated record. NCBI's taxonomy places the organism in Eukaryota, Viridiplantae, Streptophyta, Magnoliopsida, Fagales, Juglandaceae.